Armigeres subalbatus is the source of this 2102-nucleotide long non-coding RNA. RefSeq lists it as uncharacterized. The record is from RefSeq and is a predicted model, not a curated record. The transcript is spliced from 2 exons. Lineage: Eukaryota; Metazoa; Arthropoda; Insecta; Diptera; Culicidae.
CGGGACGUGAUUGUCCCGAAGAACCGAUUAAAAAUUCAUGCAACCCAGAAGAGCUCACGAGACCAGCACCGCCAGAGGCGCUAGUGUAUUUUACUCACAUUUUGGUAAAUUUAUUUGAAAGUGUUUUGGUAAGUGUAGACUUUUUUGCUGUGAGUUUUGACAGAUUUCUGUCUGAGGUAAUAACCUCAAUCUUUGCGUUUAUUUUAUUUACGGUUCCCGGACCUAAAAAUCUGGCCAAGUUUCUCUUUCGUACACCGUCGCAGAACGAUUCCGAACUCGACCCUGGAAUCACUUAUCUCAAUCUACCCGUAAUGGUCUUAUCUUUAAAUCUUUAAAAAAUGAACAAAGCGGCUAUCCUCGAUGUGGUCUACAGUCCAGCGAAAUCGAUGCUACUGCUGAGUCGUGAAAAGUUAGCUCAAUUUUGUCGCUUGGACGGUGAAAUUGUUCUGGCGGAGGUAUACAAAGCGGAAUUUGUUACGCAAGAACUGGACCGGUGCAUGAUCCACCCGCAGUACCGCAGCUACUACAGCGCUACCCCAAGGCUCGGGCUGACUAGAGUUCAAACGUGUUGGUGCUAUAUGCCCUGCGUCGGAAGUGCAAAGUGCUGGCCGAGCUGUGGAUAAUGCGAGGCCAAAACCGUCACCGGGACUAAUACACUGCGGUGAAGGAAAGUUACUGCAAACGAGAGUUACCAGGGAAGCUCUGGAGGAGUUUAACUUCACCGCUAUCGGAGAACUCCGCCUUUGGAUCUCUUUUAUUUUUGCAUUUAUCCGGAACAUCACCGACAAACGCUCCCUAAUGAAGCUGGACGAUGGAGCAAGUUGCCACUCAAUUACCCAUUGCAACCGGACACGAUGAUCUGUUUGCGUUCCGCGAAGUCAUAGCGGAAUCGCAAACUUGUCGACUACUUUGUUACAAUUCCCCAUCGAGAAAGACAAUGGAACAGCAUAUAAUUUCAGCAGGGCUUUCAAGGCUUCACAGCACGAAAAUAAUCGAAUGCCAUUAGUGUUACCUAAUUUUACGUGGAAUCAAGGCACAAACCUUCUGCACCGCACAGUAAAAGUGUAAAAGUAGAAUUGGCAGCUCCUUAGAAGAUAACGAAUACGCUGGAUGUACCGAAAUCGUCCCAACAACAUGACGACUCGAAAUGUGAAAGAAACAUCGUCAAGUAACUAGUCCAUUUCAUAAAUGUAGUUGAUUAAUAUAAAUAUGUCUAUCGAACACAUUGAAGACCCGAAAUUCAUGAACAAGUUUUUACAGAAAGAUUUAAAAAUUACUUACAUAGGGGGAAUGACGGCUUUGGCAGGUUUUGUUCUAUUAUUGGCAAGGGGUUUUUUAUGACUUACUAGGCUUAAAUUUGGCCUAAACAUUCUUUGCAUAUCAAAAAAUAUUGUGGCCAAAUUUCAUAAAAUUUGGUCGACAAAAACCCCCCUGCCAAUAAUAGAACAAAACCUGCCAAAGCCGUCUUUCCCCCUAUUUAUCAAUUAUGCUAUUGCUAAUGAAUUGCUCUGAACAUGGGUCAUAGAAGAGAUGAUCCAAAGCGCAAAAGGCUGUCGAGAAUAUUAUAGUCUAUGCUAUAUAUUUUUUUAUUUAUCGUACCAACUAUGUUAAGUGGUUGGAUAGUAAGGGAGAGAAGUAAGAAAGAAAAAGGAAGUAGGAAAAGUAAGAUAAAGAUGGAAGAAGGAAUAAUGAUUUAGCAAGAUCAAGCAAGGAAGAAGUAAAUGGCAGAAGGGAGAGAGAAGACGGAAGAAGGAAGAAAGAAAAAAAGAUGAAAGAUUGAAGAAAAACAGAAGAAAGAAGAAGGAAAAAGUAAGAUAAAGAUAAGACAAGAACCAUCGACACAGUUUGCUGUUUGUUCCAAGUUCUACAAUUGCAAAACCUGCGGUGCAUCGUAUGGCCUGGAAGAACUUGUACGAAAGCUAAUUGGCCAUGUGGCACAAAAUAAAACCCUAUUCCCGAACAUAAAAUGUGUGCCCACCGCCUCCAACACCGGCUUGCAGCAACGGAAGAUAAGGUUACAGCGGUGCUAGCAUAUUAAAUAAUAUUGUCGCGUAAAAUGCACGAUGACAUUUAUUCAAUAAAUAUUAUAUUUACAAUUAUAU